AGUAGUGCCUUUUGCUCUAGCUAAGUAAGAGAUUAAGAAUGUUAAACCCAUAAUUCAACUCCUGAUUAGACUAUGUCCUUUGUCUUAUGUUUAUUCUUAAUCCCAUGAAUGCCCAUGAAUAUUCCGAUAAUAAUAUCAUUGGGUUAUUCCUUUUCUCCAAGUCUAUUGUAAUGUCUAUCACCUGUAAAAUUUAUACCUAAUAUGAUCUAGGAAUAUCCUCAACCUCAAUUAUGUUCUCUCUAUAUUCUUUAUUCCAAACAAGGUUAAUACCUCAUUGAAUUCCUCAACAUCUGAGUUUUAAUGUACCAGUUCUCAAAUGGACCUAACUAAUUAAGUAUUCCCUUAAACCAUUAGAUAUGUCGCAAACAGCCAUUUAUAACACAAUUCUCUUCAUUCAAUCAUAAUUGCUACCAAUUGCUAAGGAAUUCAGAAUAGCUUUACAUUGACUCCAAAUCAUAUAUUAAUGACUCUCAUCCUAAUUGAUAUCUCAAUCAUUCCAUGAGCAAAUUUUAAAUUAAUAAAUUACCAGAUUAACACACUUAAGUU
Molecule: long non-coding RNA, 546 nt
Filed under: Jatropha curcas
Lineage: Eukaryota; Viridiplantae; Streptophyta; Magnoliopsida; Malpighiales; Euphorbiaceae
Description: long non-coding RNA (JCUR_LNC001975)
Source: RNAcentral